Molecule: non-coding RNA, 29 nt
Filed under: Mus musculus (house mouse)
Lineage: Eukaryota; Metazoa; Chordata; Mammalia; Rodentia; Muridae
Source: RNAcentral
UGCUGAUCAAACAAACUACCAUUGGGGAG